CAGCCGCCACGGGAAUACGAAGGGUGCAAGCGUUAAUCGGAAUUACUGGGCGUAAAGCGUGCGUAGGCGGUGAGUUAAGUCUGCUGUGAAAUCCCCGGGGUCAACCUGGGAAUGGCAAUGGAUACUGGCAAGCUAGAGUGUGUCAGAGGAUGGUGGAAUUCCCGGUGUAGCGGUGAAAUGCGUAGAGGUCGGGAGGAACAUCAGUGGCGAAGGCGGCCAUCUGGGACAACACUGACGCUGAGGCACGAAAGCGUGGGGAGCAAACAGGAUUAGAUACCCCGGUAGUCCCUGUCUCUUAUAC
Molecule: ribosomal RNA, 301 nt
Filed under: uncultured bacterium
Lineage: Bacteria
Description: partial 16S ribosomal RNA
Rfam family: Bacterial small subunit ribosomal RNA
Source: RNAcentral